This 426-nucleotide small RNA is filed under the name Histoplasma ohiense. Its description in RNAcentral is "hypothetical lncRNA". Lineage: Eukaryota; Fungi; Ascomycota; Eurotiomycetes; Onygenales; Ajellomycetaceae. The record is from RNAcentral.
CAGAUGGAUGGAGUAUGCCUGCGGCGGUGAGAGAAACGCUAAAACUAAAAUAAAAUCCGGCACUCAGCGAGGAUGACAGAGCUUCCCGGGGGUGGAAGGGGAGCCCCAAUUGCCCUCGUUUUGUGUCUUUCUCCUUGCCUUGUUUGCAGAGAGAAGAAUGAGCCAAGGGCAGAUUGCAAUGGAAUGCUGACUGGCUAGCUAGGGUAUUAUUCUAUGGGUUGGGAUAGGGAAAAUGGAACUUAACCCGCAAGCGUGGUUCUACCGCUUCCAUGGCCCGGGAGCAUGGGAGGGAAAGGAUGUUUUGGCCAUUUUUCUUUUCUCUCUCUUUUUGAUGCAUGGCCCGAAAAUUAGACGUGAAGGAAUGGAGUGGUUGCAUGGAUGAGUUUGGAGGUAGUUUUGGGAACUUGACAAACUCCAGCUGCAACA